Molecule: non-coding RNA, 45 nt
Organism: Schistosoma mansoni
Lineage: Eukaryota; Metazoa; Platyhelminthes; Trematoda; Strigeidida; Schistosomatidae
Source: Rfam
AUCCAGCUGACGAAUCCCUAAUAGGAUGAAACGCGCGUCCUGUAU